GAUGAACGCUGGCGGCGUGCCUAAUACAUGCAAGUCGAGCGAACAGACGAGGAGCUUGCUCCUCUGACGUUAGCGGUGGACGGGUGAGUAACACGUGGAUAACCUACCUAUAAGACUGGGAUAACUUCGGGAAACCGGAGCUAAUACCGGAUAACAUGUUGAACCGCAUGGUUCAACAGUGAAAGACGGUCUUGCUGUCACUGAUAGAUGGAUCCGCGCCGCAUUAGCUAGUUGGUAAGGUAACGGCUUACCAAGGCAACGAUGCGUAGCCGACCUGCGAGGGUGAUCGGCCACACUGGAACUGAGACACGGUCCAGACUCCUACGGGAGGCAGCAGUAGGGAAUCUUCCGCAAUGGGCGAAAGCCUGACGGAGCAACGUCGCGUGAGUGAAGAAGGUCUUCGGAUCGUAAAACUCUGUUAUUAGGGAAGAACAAAUGUGUAAGUAACUAUGCACGUCUUGACGGUACCUAAUCAGAAAGCCACGGCUAACUACGUGCCAGCCGCCGCAGUAA
RNAcentral lists this ribosomal RNA (513 nucleotides) under uncultured bacterium. Its description in RNAcentral is "partial 16S ribosomal RNA". It matches the Rfam family "Bacterial small subunit ribosomal RNA", at positions 28 to 523 of the family's 1533-position model. The record is from RNAcentral.